Molecule: ribosomal RNA, 206 nt
Filed under: uncultured bacterium
Lineage: Bacteria
Description: partial 16S ribosomal RNA
Rfam family: Bacterial small subunit ribosomal RNA
Source: RNAcentral
CUCGUAGGCGGGGUUGCGCGUCGUGGAGUAAAUUUCUCUGCUCAACGGAGAAAUCAUCUGCGAUACGGCAACUCUUGAGGACAGGAGAGGAAAGCGGAAUUCCGAGUGUAGCGGUGAAAUGCGUAGAUAUUCGGAGGAACACCAGUGGCGAAGGCGGCUUUCUGGCCUGAUUCUGACGCUGAGGAGCGAAAGCCAGGGUAGCGAAC